GAGCUUGCUCCACCGGAAAAAGAAGAGUGGCGAACGGGUGAGUAACACGUGGGUAACCUGCCCAUCAGAAGGGGAUAACACUUGGAAACAGGUGCUAAUACCGUAUAACAAUCGAAACCGCAUGGUUUUGAUUUGAAAGGCGCUUUCGGGUGUCGCUGAUGGAUGGACCCGCGGUGCAUUAGCUAGUUGGUGAGGUAACGGCUCACCAAGGCCACGAUGCAUAGCCGACCUGAGAGGGUGAUCGGCCACAUUGGGACUGAGACACGGCCCAAACUCCUACGGGAGGCAGCAGUAGGGAAUCUUCGGCAAUGGACGAAAGUCUGACCGAGCAACGCCGCGUGAGUGAAGAAGGUUUUCGGAUCGUAAAACUCUGUUGUUAGAGAAGAACAAGGAUGAGAGUAACUGUUCAUCCCUUGACGGUAUCUAACCAGAAAGCCACGGCUAACUACGUGCCAGCAGCCGCGGUAAUACGUAGG
Molecule: ribosomal RNA, 476 nt
Filed under: Enterococcus durans
Lineage: Bacteria; Bacillati; Bacillota; Bacilli; Lactobacillales; Enterococcaceae
Description: bacterial SSU rRNA
Rfam family: Bacterial small subunit ribosomal RNA
Source: RNAcentral